RNAcentral lists this ribosomal RNA (453 nucleotides) under Flavobacterium sp. IGS50. RNAcentral describes it as "bacterial SSU rRNA". It matches the Rfam family "Bacterial small subunit ribosomal RNA", at positions 23 to 478 of the family's 1533-position model. The record is from RNAcentral. Lineage: Bacteria; Pseudomonadati; Bacteroidota; Flavobacteriia; Flavobacteriales; Flavobacteriaceae.
CUCAGGAUGAACGCUAGCGGCAGGCUUAACACAUGCAAGUCGAGGGGUAUAGCACUUCGGUGCUAGAGACCGGCGCACGGGUGCGUAACGCGUAUGCAAUCUACCUUUUACAGGGGGAUAGCCCAGAGAAAUUUGGAUUAAUACCCCAUGGUAUAGUGAGUUGGCAUCAACUUGCUAUUAAAGUCACAACGGUAAAAGAUGAGCAUGCGUCCCAUUAGCUAGAUGGUAAGGUAACGGCUUACCAUGGCUACGAUGGGUAGGGGUCCUGAGAGGGAGAUCCCCCACACUGGUACUGAGACACGGACCAGACUCCUACGGGAGGCAGCAGUGAGGAAUAUUGGACAAUGGGCGCAAGCCUGAUCCAGCCAUGCCGCGUGCAGGAUGACGGUCCUAUGGAUUGUAAACUGCUUUUAUACGAGAAGAAACACUGAUUCGUGAAUCAGCUGACGGUAU